UGGGGAAUAUUGGACAAUGGGGGCAACCCUGAUCCAGCCAUGCCGCGUGAGUGAAGAAGGCCCUAGGGUUGUAAAGCUCUUUCAGCGGGGAAGAUGAUGACGGUACCCGCAGAAGAAGCCCCGGCUAACUCCGUGCCAGCAGCCGCGGUAAUACGGAGGGGGCUAGCGUUGCUCGGAAUUACUGGGCGUAAAGGGCGCGUAGGCGGAUUUCUCAGUCAGGCGUGAAAGCCCCGGGCUCAACCCGGGAAUUGCGUUUGAUACUAGAAGUCUAGAGAUCUGGAGAGGGUGGUGGAAUUCCCAGUGUAGAGGUGAAAUUCGUAGAUAUUGGGAAGAACACCGGUGGCGAAGGCGGCCACCUGGCCAGACACUGACGCUAAGGCGCGAAAGCGUGGGGAGCAAACAGGAUUAGAUACCCCCGUAGUCC
RNAcentral lists this ribosomal RNA (424 nucleotides) under uncultured prokaryote. Its description in RNAcentral is "bacterial SSU rRNA". It matches the Rfam family "Bacterial small subunit ribosomal RNA", at positions 355 to 796 of the family's 1533-position model. The record is from RNAcentral.